This 497-nucleotide ribosomal RNA is filed under the name uncultured bacterium. Its description in RNAcentral is "partial 16S ribosomal RNA". It matches the Rfam family "Bacterial small subunit ribosomal RNA", at positions 28 to 507 of the family's 1533-position model. The record is from RNAcentral.
GACGAACGCUGGCGGCGUGCCUAAUACAUGCAAGUUGAGCGAUGAAGAUUGGUGCUUGCACCAAUUUGAAGAGCAGCGAACGGGUGAGUAACGCGUGGGGAAUCUGCCUUUGGGCGGGGGACAACAUUUGGAAACGAAUGCUAAUACCGCAUAACAACUUUAAACAUAAGUUUUAAGUUUGAAAGAUGCAAUUGCAUCACUCAAAGAUGAUCCCGCGUUGUAUUAGCUAGUUGGUGAGGUAAAGGCUCACCAAGGCGAUGAUACAUAGCCGACCUGAGAGGGUGAUCGGCCACAUUGGGACUGAGACACGGCCCAAACUCCUACGGGAGGCAGCAGUAGGGAAUCUUCGGCAAUGGACGAAAGUCUGACCGAGCAACGCCGCGUGAGUGAAGAAGGUUUUCGGAUCGUAAAACUCUGUUGGUAGGGAAGAACGUUGGUGAGAGUGGAAAGCUCAUCAAGUGACGGUAACUACCCAGAAAGGGACGGCUAACUACGUG